Molecule: unclassified non-coding RNA, 90 nt
Filed under: Pseudomonas jessenii
Lineage: Bacteria; Pseudomonadati; Pseudomonadota; Gammaproteobacteria; Pseudomonadales; Pseudomonadaceae
Source: RNAcentral
UGUGGGAGCGAGCUUGCUCGCGAUAGCGGUGUAUCAGUCGACAUCCAUGUUGGCUGAACAGACGCCAUCGCGAGCAAGCUCGCUCCCACA